RNAcentral lists this long non-coding RNA (1075 nucleotides) under Homo sapiens (human). RNAcentral's name for it is "HSALNT0306425". The record is from RNAcentral. Lineage: Eukaryota; Metazoa; Chordata; Mammalia; Primates; Hominidae.
UUCAACAUAUGGGUCUUAGAGAAAUUCAAGAGCUAACAGAUACCACACCAGAGGAAUUAACAGAAGACAAGGUGGAGAUAGAUGCUUCUGAACCACUGCCAGACAGUGAGAAAGAUGCAGAACAGUGCCAGAAAACAAACUGACAUUAGACAAUCUGGCAGAACGGUUCUGAAUAUACAAGACUACUCUUGACUUCUUUUACGACAUGGACCCUUCUAUGAUACAGGCAACAAGAUCAACCCCUCCUCUUCCUCCUCAGCCUACUCAACAGGAAGACAAGUAGGAUGCAGACCUUUACAAUGAGCCACUUCAACUUAAUGAAUAAUGGUGGCAGAAGAAAACACCGAAAACAAUACCACUACCCCACUCCCUUUAUUAGAAAAAAGUUAAAAUACAAAUUCUAUUACUGUUUACCUAGGACCUAACUUCACACGGCUGACAUUUCUCAAAGAUAGGUCAUAGGAUCCCCAUUCCAGAAAGGGUGCUGUUCCAUACCCGGAAGGAAAGAAUGCUGCACAGAGAGGCCAAGAAGAAUCUAUACAGACAGGCAGGCCUUGCUGGGUUUCCCCACUCAGUAUAUGGCUGUCCAGACUUUGCUGAACCUAAGCAUACCAAUGGGCAGUUUUCUCCUAUAUCUUUAGGUCUUUAUUCUGAAGGCUCCCAUGUCACGUAACACCAAGAUCAAAUAAAAUCAUAUGCCCUUUCUCCUAUUAAUCUGCCUUUUUUCAGCUGAUUUUCAAAGAACCUUCAGAGGCUGAAAGGGAAGUUUUUUCUUGGCCCCUACAAUAUGCUACAACUCCAGUAAGUUAAUUAGUAAAUAUUAAACUAUUUUUGGAAGGAAAAAAAACUGAAAAUAACAUUGCUUUAGAGAUAAAUUAUUUAAGAAUUGCUAGAAAUUACCCUAGAAAUUAUCCUAGAAAAAUCUUAAAAUUUUCCCUAAAAACUUUUAGGAAUAAUACAUUGUUUCUAAUGAGACCCUUCAGCUUAUGCAAAAAGCACAGGAGACUAAAUUCUAGAGUCAACGAAACGAUAUUCUCCAAUUCUGUUUUGCUAAUGAAUAUGUUGUCCAUCCCCC